CGCCUUGCCAGCCCGCUCAGAACUCAAAGGAAUUGACGGGGGCCCGCACAAGCGGUGGAGCAUGUGGUUUAAUUCGAUGAUACGCGAGGAACCUUACCUGGGCUCAAAUGUAUGUUGACGUAUUCUGAAAGGGAUACUUCUUCGGACAAUAUACAAGGUGCUGCAUGGUUGUCGUCAGCUCGUGCCGUGAGGUGUCGGGUUAAGUCCCAUAACGAGCGCAACCCCUAUCAUUAGUUGCCAUCAGGUCAAGCUGGGGACUCUAAUGAAACUGCCUACGCAAGUAGUGAGGAAGGUGGGGAUGACGUCAAAUCAGCACGGCCCUUACGUCCAGGGCUACACACGUGCUACAAUGGUCGGUACAAAGGGUUGCCAAGCCGCGAGGUGGAGCUAAUCCCAUAAAACCGAUCGUAGUCCGGAUCGCAGUCUGCAACUCGACUGCGUGAAGUCGGAAUCGCUAGUAAUCGUGAAUCAGAAUGUCACGGUGAAUACGUUCCCGGGCCUU
This 502-nucleotide ribosomal RNA is filed under the name uncultured Sphingobacteriales bacterium. RNAcentral's name for it is "bacterial SSU rRNA". It matches the Rfam family "Bacterial small subunit ribosomal RNA", at positions 903 to 1382 of the family's 1533-position model. Lineage: Bacteria; Pseudomonadati; Bacteroidota; Sphingobacteriia; Sphingobacteriales. The record is from RNAcentral.